Triplophysa dalaica is the source of this 1296-nucleotide long non-coding RNA. RefSeq lists it as uncharacterized. NCBI's taxonomy places the organism in Eukaryota, Metazoa, Chordata, Actinopteri, Cypriniformes, Nemacheilidae. The transcript has 4 exons. The record is from RefSeq and is a predicted model, not a curated record.
CGUUUUCCCGACGAUCAGCGCCGGCUUCGACAGGGCCCCCAGAGUUGAAAAAAUGCUCAACUUUGGGCAGAACACUGCGCCUGGAGCAGGCGUUUUCAGCCGAGCUCCUGACGUUUUCAGCCGCGUAAAUGUGCCUCGGUGGACACAGCCCCUAAGCGUCCUGAAACAUUCAUAAUGUUCGUUACACUCAUCCUCAAAGCCAAGGGGCGAUGUCGGGUUGUGAUCAACAGUAGAAGAAGCCACACCUCACCUCACCUCACCGCCAUUUUGGCUUUCCACAACCAGAUCAAAACAGCUGUCAGUCUGAUUCCUGUUUGGUGUAUGAUUAUCAAAGCUGGAUUCCCCUGCAGUGCUUCAAAGCUUUAACCGUCUUAAGACACACAUGACGGCUUUACAUCUACAAGCUUCAGUCAAGGGAAGUGAGAUACACACAGGACAUCUGACGGCACAUCUGCCCCUCAGCGCAGCUGUUUCAGAGAUUUUGUUCGGUAAAACCUUUUCUGAGGUUUGCUGUGCCAUCCCCUGGAGGCCAAGUGUUACCCAGGAGACUCGGUUGGAUGGGAACAGUGACAGAACAGAUUUAUGGGGGCAGAACACAGCAUCAUGGGCCACUGACUGAGUGGGCAUGAAGACCAGCAGAACUGAAGUUGCGAAUGUUGGUUCGUCCUCUCUGUGGGUCAACAAAAGAGAAGGCAGCCAGCACCAGCAGACCUGAACUUCUGCAAACCUGCAGAUAAUGACAGGUUUAUUCACAUGCCAGAAGACAAAGUGAGAAAGAGUACAGGUGUGAUGGUUGGGUUGAUGAGAAAGGUUGAGGAAAGAACAGAAAAUAGAAAGGCAGGUGAGAAAGUCAAGCAAAUGUUACUCCUCCCCACAUAAUGAAGAAUUCUGCAUGAACGUCCAGACCAUAUCCAUGCUAUAGAAUUUGAAAUCUCUUAAAGGUCCGGUGUUUUUUGGGGGAUCUAUUGACAGUAAAGCAAUAUUGAUAAUUAUGUUUUCAGACAUAUAUGGCAUGAAAUUCCACAUAACAUUAAUGUUUUUAAAUAUACUUUUAAACAACAGAUUUAUUUAACAACAACUUUUAUGAAUGAAAGGAAACAUUCUGAUAUUGGUACUGCAACUGAUCCAUUAAAUUGAUCAUUCUGUCUUUACUUUAACAUUAAUUAAUACCUGUUCAAUAUUGACGUACAGUAUUAUUGAGAGCUAUCAUGUCUAACAGGUAGGAAAUAUACAGAAAGUUCUCUGAAUCUGUACAGUCUUUAAUGCUAAAUUCUAAAUUAAAUACAGAAUUAAAGC